AAGUCGUAACAAGGUUUCCGUAGGUGAACCUGCGGAAGGAUCAUUGCCGAGCGUGCACCGUUGUGUGAGCCGAAAGGCGACCACAGCGUGUGCAUUUCUCUCCAAACCCAUGUGAACUCUGUAUUCGUGACUUGUGCUGCGCGCGCCACGUGCGCGCGCACACACACUUUUACCAACAACGUUGACUGUGCUUCUCUGACUGAGACAAACUGUCUGCUCGCUAACGCGACGUUGACAUCAAAACCAACAUAUCACAACUUUUAACAACGGAUAUCUUGGCUCGC
This 284-nucleotide unclassified non-coding RNA is filed under the name fungal sp. RNAcentral's name for it is "partial internal transcribed spacer region". The stretch from base 1 to 46 matches the Rfam family "Eukaryotic small subunit ribosomal RNA", at positions 1786 to 1831 of the family's 1831-position model. Lineage: Eukaryota; Fungi. The record is from RNAcentral.